Long non-coding RNA from Herpailurus yagouaroundi (jaguarundi), 1635 nucleotides. RefSeq lists it as uncharacterized. Lineage: Eukaryota; Metazoa; Chordata; Mammalia; Carnivora; Felidae. The record is from RefSeq and is a predicted model, not a curated record. The transcript is spliced from 3 exons.
AAGGAUAUCAGAGAUAAAAAUGAUUAAUUAUGGGAAAAGAUAAGGUGCUUCCUUUGAUUGAAGAGGAAAGUAGGCCUAGAAAGAUUUCAAUGGAAUCUCUAACUAACAAAGGCUAAAUUUAUCACAAAUUUGAAAUACAAAGAGAACAUUCUGUUAAAUCAAAGGCUUUCUCAGUCCAACUGUAAGGCUAGAUGGAAGAACUGCUUAAAUUCAAUGAAGUAUGAGUCAUGGGUUAACUGAAACUCCUGCCCUGGGAAGAAGCUUGUUCUAUACGAAUGUACUUAAUUUCUACUUCAGUGUAGAUGUUUUCAAGUUCACAACUGUAAGACUUUUCUGGUCAAUACUGAUCUGAAGGCUAUCAUUUGAGAUAAGUGGAAAGAUAGCAUUUCCAAAGUCCUUAUUCUUUUACGGCAAACAUCCAUAUAAAAUCUGUCUUCAUAUAUAAUAGUUUUUUAUUCUUUCCUAUUUGAUGGAAAUUUAAGGCUUACAAGAUAUCAAAGUGAUACCUAAUCAAGCCUCUAUCCCUAUUUAUUGUCUCCCAAACUGUUAACAAAACAAAAACAAAACUCUUAAAAUUAACAACAUUAAUCCUUUAUUGAAAUGCCUUUGGUGUAAUAAUAUCUCAUAUCUAUUAAUAGGCCUCAACCAUUCAUGUAAGCCCAUCUAAGUAGCUUCAUCGUGUCCCAUUAUAGUAAUGUAUGCUUUCUUUAUUCAAGCAUGACACAGCACAGAGAUUUAUUUCACAUUAAACUUUUUUGAAUAAAAAGAAAAAAAGGAUUCAAGAACAGGUGUCUCAGGCUAGAUUUGGGACUGCAUAAGUGAGCUUUGUGUUAGGGGACGAUAAGAAUACAUUUAAAAUUUUAAUUGAAGAAUGCCAGGCACCAGAGGCAAAUAGCAUGCGAUUUUUUUUAAGUGCUAAAAACAGCCAGCUGCCAAAAAGGGUAAGCUAGCUGAUGGUUACAGCUGUUCACCAUCAUGCAACAAAAACACAAAAGCUCUCUAUUUCUUGAGGUAUGUCUUAUCCACACAAUAGACUAUGGGCCUCCACACAUCAUUUUUGUAUCCUUGUGUUAAGUUACCACAGCAUGGCAUAGAACUAUUCAAAAUUAAGGAAAAGUGAUUUUUUGACUGUACUAUUUUAAAUGAUCUACAACUACAUCUUCUUUGGUUUAAUCUAGGAGAGAAUUGACUGCAUUAUUCUUACUGUUUUAUGUAAUGGCCACAGACAAAGUGAAUUCUUCCAUGUAGUGCUGCUAGGGAAAAAAUUCCUUUUUUGAAUUGGGAAAUUGAGUGGCAGAUUGCAAAAAUGUGUUUUCUCACAUUCCAGUGACAAAAGAGUUGGUAAAUGUCAAGCAAGAAAAAAAAAAGUCUGAGUUUUACCAUCUCCUUAUUUCUGCCCGUCACAAACCUAAACACAGAGAGGAGGAAGGACAGGAGAAACAACAAUGGCCUUUCUAAAAACCCACAGACUGAACAGUCUUUUAAUGGCAGAGUUAAGCCAUAGACACCUCCUACUUCCAAUGAAGAGAGGUCAGAAAAACUAAAGGAAUGAGCCAGGAUGUCCUUGGAACCACAGUAGAGGGGACAGCCAUCUUGCCAGCGCAACCCAAUGAAAAGCCCCUAGUAGUGUGCCAG